RNAcentral lists this long non-coding RNA (483 nucleotides) under Physcomitrium patens. Its description in RNAcentral is "long non-coding RNA (PPAT_LNC014419)". Lineage: Eukaryota; Viridiplantae; Streptophyta; Bryopsida; Funariales; Funariaceae. The record is from RNAcentral.
GAGGAGGAGGAGGAAGAGGCACUGGAGAAGCUUGCUGAAUUCUUCCAGCCCCACAACUUGCCCAAGGGCACCAACAUCAUCUAUCACUGGGCCACCCCCUCCAGUGUCAAGGUACUGGCAGUUUCUGCAUGAAUGCCUUCAGAACAUCAUACCAUGUCGACUUUAGUUCGUGUAAACCUAACCCACCAACUCAAAUCUAGUGAACAGACGUUUUUGUUUUUGUUUUGUUUGUUUUUUUUUUAAAUAAUAAUAAUAAUAAUAAUAAUUUAAGUGGACAUUCUUAAAGAACUUGAACGCAUCUAUACAGAAAACUCUAUUAUGAAAUACAUGGGUUGAGGCUGACUACUUACAUUAUGCAGGUUUCCCUAUCUGAGGAAGGUAAAAUGCCUGAAGAUGUGGCAUACACCAUCGACGAUGCGCAUGUAGCGGAAGCAUUGUUGGACCUGUACUUGGGCGAGAACACUAUCACGCCCUCCACUCUUG